RNAcentral lists this long non-coding RNA (698 nucleotides) under Mus musculus (house mouse). RNAcentral describes it as "predicted gene, 60859". Lineage: Eukaryota; Metazoa; Chordata; Mammalia; Rodentia; Muridae. The record is from RNAcentral.
AGCCUCCACUGGUCCUCAGCCUUUACCAUCUUUUAGAUACUGCUCUACACGUAACAGUGGUUGCAGUAUCUACUGAGUCCCUCCCACAUGCCCAGUCUCUGAUGUUCAGCAGCAGCAGCCCAGGGACCUCGAGCUUUAAGGUGAAGGAAUACUACUUCCUCCUUGCCUCUUUCCACAAACUAUCUUUUUGGGGAAGAGAAGGCCCACAUGACCUGAGAACAUGAGACUGCCCAUUGGGCCAUUUGGAAGACGUUCUGAACUCUGAGGAGCUUUUUGCUCAAAAUAUUGAAACAAACUCACAGGAGGUCAGCACUUACUGGUUGCAUUCAAUAUUUAUUGGACUUCUGGGUGUAAGAAAGGGGAAAGGAGGUUGAGAAAGCAAAAUCUACAAGUUGCUCCAACAGAAAUUUGAAUGACAAAAGAAAAUUCUAGCAAGAAGGAGGAUCCAAACAUAAAAGGUUACAAGUCCACGGUACAGUCAUUAGUAAUAAAUGGUGAAAAGAGGAGUCGAUAAAGGUUACAGGGAAACAAGAACUUCAACACCCAAAAGCACAGAGCGAUAUAGAUUAAGCUUACAUGUAGUAAUAGCCAGUCAACGUAUUAUUCUUUGAAAAGGUCAGGUGUGCCAAGGAGAUUAUAGAUAUGUCAGGGUGCAAAGCUAUACCAGAUGUCUCUAACUCAAUUAGCUACCGAGUCGU